Gossypium raimondii (Peruvian cotton) is the source of this 527-nucleotide long non-coding RNA. RefSeq lists it as uncharacterized. The transcript has 2 exons. Lineage: Eukaryota; Viridiplantae; Streptophyta; Magnoliopsida; Malvales; Malvaceae. The record is from RefSeq and is a predicted model, not a curated record.
AACAGAAAACAGAGUCAAACUCUCUCAAAAAUUCCUCUCAUCCGGCCAGGGUCCGGCCGUCUCCGAUUAUCAGGCCCCGUCCGUCGGCCACCGCACACGGUGGUCGGAGGCACAAAAUCGGACCUUUUUGGUCCAUUUUGAAGCCGGUCGCCUCUAGGACACGGAUUCGAGGCUGAAUCCCGUGAAAAAUGAGCCCGUACUCGAGAAAAACGAAAAGAGACCGUUCGUCUCCCCUCCCUCUGGCACGGCGCAGGUCCUGGUAGAGCAGGUGGCGGCAGAAGGCUGAGGUGACAAGGGCGGUGGCAGCAGGUCAAGGGUGCGGCGCUAGUCUGACUAUUUGGGUUUCGGUUUUGGGCCUAAUUUGGGGUAUUAGGCCUGUUUUUGUAAAUGGACUAGGUUUUAGUUUGGGCUGAAUUGGGUAGCUGGGUUUGUUGGGCCUAUUGGGCCCGGACAUAAAAUUGGGCUGUACACUUAAUUUGUAUAUGAGAAAGUAUUUUAGUAAUUUCAUAACUAAAUUCCCGCUCUAA